RNAcentral lists this ribosomal RNA (248 nucleotides) under uncultured bacterium. RNAcentral describes it as "partial 16S ribosomal RNA". It matches the Rfam family "Bacterial small subunit ribosomal RNA", at positions 793 to 1055 of the family's 1533-position model. The record is from RNAcentral.
GUCCACGCCGUAACGAUGGAUACUAGCUGUUGGGCAACUUCAGUGGCUAAGCGAAGUGAUAAGUAUCCCACCUGGGAGUACGUUCGCAAGAAUGAAACUCAAAGGAAUUGACGGGCCCGCACAAGCGGUGGAGCAUGUGGUUUAAUUCGAUGAUACGCGAGGAACCUUACCAAGGCUUAAAUGUAGAUUGACCGGUUUGGAAACAGAUCUUUCGCAAGACAAUUUACAAGGUGCUGCAUGGUUGUCGU